Chinchilla lanigera (long-tailed chinchilla) is the source of this 790-nucleotide long non-coding RNA. RefSeq lists it as uncharacterized. NCBI's taxonomy places the organism in Eukaryota, Metazoa, Chordata, Mammalia, Rodentia, Chinchillidae. The transcript has 2 exons. The record is from RefSeq and is a predicted model, not a curated record.
GCGGUCGCCGAGAUCCCAGAGUCGCUUGAGCUUCGAGAUUGUGAAAAACCGGAGUCCGGCGGGUCUCUGGAACGCUCGCUGCCUCUCUUAAGGACCAGCUUUGGCCAUCCAGGACUUGUAGGCCGAAGCUGGGUCUUUUUUGCUUUUAAAAAAAAUAAUAAAUAAAACGAAAGUUUUACGGGGUGCAUCGGGGCACACGCUCUGGGUGGCUCCAGAGGGUGACUUUAAACCACGUGAGGUCCGGACACGGCCAGAGCUCUGUCCAAUGACUCGCGACUUGGGGUGUUCAAAAAAUGCUCAUUGCAUGAUCGUUAGUGAAAACAGGUUAGCUGGAAAAUGGAAAGAGGAGGUCUCGGAAAAUGCGAGAUGUUCCGAUACCUUCUGGCUUAAGCGCAAAUUUAAAAAAUGCAGCGAGAAGCGAAUGUGCAGCGGCGACGGGGACACUUCCGCACUAGGGGCUCAGGGUAGAGUCUCUUCGGAGCCCUGGACGUUGUGCAGCUCCUGGACUCUGGCCGUUUGCGAGGAGGGUGGCGGCGCGAAGGUCGCAGGGCCAGAAAAGACCGCGCUUUGUUACUAGAUCCCCUACUCUUAACGCGCCCACGGACCGGUACUGUACGUCGUUAUCCUAUAUCCAGUCAGUUCUCAGUAAACAUUAGUGGAAGGCAUCAGACAAAUGCAUUUACAAGAGACGAAGCAUGCGCUAAAAACAAAGAUUUUAUUAAACUGUAUUUCACAAAUGCUCUACUUUGCUGUCCUUUCCCGCCUAAAUAAAACUCUUCAUUCAAACGGA